RNAcentral lists this ribosomal RNA (321 nucleotides) under uncultured Pseudomonadota bacterium. RNAcentral's name for it is "bacterial SSU rRNA". It matches the Rfam family "Bacterial small subunit ribosomal RNA", at positions 29 to 351 of the family's 1533-position model. The record is from RNAcentral. Lineage: Bacteria; Pseudomonadati; Pseudomonadota.
AUUGAACGCUGGCGGCAUGCUUUACACAUGCAAGUCGAACGGCAGCACGGGGGCAACCCUGGUGGCGAGUGGCGAACGGGUGAGUAAUGCAUCGGAACGUACCGUGUAAUGGGGGACAACGAGUCGAAAGAUUCGCUAAUACCGCAUACGCCCUGAGGGGGAAAGUGGGGGAUCGCAAGACCUCACGUUAUACGAGCGGCCGAUGCCGGAUUAGCUAGUUGGUGGGGUAAAGGCCCACCAAGGCGACGAUCCGUAGCUGGUCUGAGAGGACGACCAGCCACACUGGGACUGAGACACGGCCCAGACUCCUACGGGUGGCAG